GAUGAAGAACGCAGCGAAAUGCGAUAAGUAAUGUGAAUUGCAGAAUUCAGUGAAUCAUCGAAUCUUUGAACGCACCUUGCGCCCUUUGGCCAUUCCGAAGGGCAUGCCUGUUUGAGUAUCAUGAACACCUCAACUCUUUAUGGUUUUCCAUGAUGAGCUUGGACUCUGGGGGUUUUGCUGGCUCACAGUCGGCUCCUCUAAAAUGAAUCAGCUUACCAGUGUUUGGUGGGUAUCAUGGGUGUGAUAACUAUCUACGCUUGUGGUUUUUCCACCAGGUAACCUUCAGCAGUGGAGGUUCGCUGGAGCUCAUAGAUGUCUCUCCUCAGUGAGGACAGCCCUUUGAUUGUUUGAUCUCAAAUCAGGUAGGACUACCCGCUGAACUUAAGAAUAUCAAUAAGCGGAGGA
RNAcentral lists this unclassified non-coding RNA (405 nucleotides) under soil metagenome. RNAcentral describes it as "partial contains 5.8S ribosomal RNA, internal transcribed spacer 2, and large subunit ribosomal RNA". The stretch from base 1 to 121 matches the Rfam family "5.8S ribosomal RNA", at positions 35 to 154 of the family's 154-position model. The record is from RNAcentral.